CGCGUAGGCGGUUUUUUAAGUCAGAGGUGAAAGCCCGGGGCUCAACCCCGGAAUAGCCUUUGAAACUGGAAAACUUGAAUCUUGGAGAGGUCAGUGGAAUUCCGAGUGUAGAGGUGAAAUUCGUAGAUAUUCGGAAGAACACCAGUGGCGAAGGCGACUGACUGGACAAGUAUUGACGCUGAGGUGCGAAAGCGUGGGGAGCAAACA
RNAcentral lists this ribosomal RNA (207 nucleotides) under uncultured bacterium. RNAcentral describes it as "partial 16S ribosomal RNA". It matches the Rfam family "Bacterial small subunit ribosomal RNA", at positions 568 to 774 of the family's 1533-position model. The record is from RNAcentral.